This 800-nucleotide ribosomal RNA is filed under the name uncultured archaeon. Its description in RNAcentral is "bacterial SSU rRNA". It matches the Rfam family "Archaeal small subunit ribosomal RNA", at positions 89 to 874 of the family's 1478-position model. The record is from RNAcentral.
CUCAGUAACACGUGGCUAAUCUGCCCUUGGGACCGGAACAACCCCGGGAAACUGGGGCUAACUCUCGAUAGGCGAAGAACUCUGGAAUGAGUCUUCACCCAAACAGUUUAAGGUUAUGCUCUUUAAACUGCCCAAGGAUGGGGCCGCGACCGAUCAGGUUGUUGGUGAGGUAAUGGCUCACCAAGCCUUUUACCGGUGCGGGCCGUGAGAGCGGGAGCCCGGAGAUGGGCACUGAGACAAGGGCCCAGGCCCUACGGGGCGCAGCAGUCGCGAAAACUUUGCAAUAAGCGAAAGCUUGACAGGGCUAUCCCGAGUGCCAUCCGCUGAGGAAGGCUUUUACCCAGUCUAGAACGCUGGGGGAAUAAGGAGAGGGCAAGUCUGGUGUCAGCCGCCGCGGUAAUACCAGCUCUCCGAGUGGUGUGGAUGUUUAUUGGGCCUAAAGCAUCCGUAGCUGGCUAGGUUAGUCCCCUGUUAAAUCCACCGAAUUAAUCGUUGGAUUGCGGGGGAUACUGCUUGGCUAGGGGACGAGAGAGGCAGACGGUAUUUCCGGGGUAGGGGUGAAAUCCUAUAAUCCCGGGAAGACCACCAGUGGCGAAGGCUGUCUGCUAGAACGCGCCCGACGGUGAGGGAUGAAAGCUGGGGGAGCGAACCGGAUUAGAUACCCGGGUAGUCCCAGCUGUAAACGAUGCAGACUAGGUGUUUGAACGGCCACGUGCCGUUCUAGUGCCGCAGGGAAGCUGUUAAGUCUGCCGCCUGGGGAGUACGAUCGCAAGAUUGAAACUUAAAGGAAUUGGCGGGGG